CCUGCCCUGUCUCAGGUCCCACCCAUCUCAGCUUUGAGAGCCAGGGGUCCUCUCUCUGGAGCCUCAUGUCACCCUCCCGCGUCCCCCCAACCCCACACAGGUGACUGAUCCGCCUCCCUCGGGCACCCACCAGACGCUCUGCGUCAGGACGGGAGUCGCGGCUCCACGAAGGCGGGGCUGGUUUGCAUUUGAUGCUGUAGACAAACCAGCCCACUGCCUGGUACAGAGACCACCAGCUGGCAAGAGAGGAGACUGGCCGUGGGGUAGAGUCCAGGCCUGACCCAAAGGCCAGAAGAGGACGGAAGGUGGGGAGGGGAAAACCACGUCAGCCCCUCAUCCACGGCGUCCGACAGCGGCUCCUAGGAUCCAUCACUCAGCUGCGAAUCUCCCGGACCUGCGCAGAGGCUGCCAGGCCCGCCCCACCUCCGUGUCGCUGGGAGGCUGUGCCCGCAACCCCCAGGAAAGAGGGCCCUGCCCUGUGAGAUCCAGGACUCAGGACCUCAUCCCCCAUCCAGGCAGAGGCCAAGCCUCAGGCAGAGUGAGGUCCACCUGUGAACCAGGCUGGCUGGUCUGGGAGGGUCCAGGAGGGCAGAGUGAGGAGUCCAAGACUCCAGCCCCAAGGUGGGGGCCACAGAGGGGCGAUCCUUUCAGCCCCUUUCAGCUGCUGCCUGGGUGACACAGCCAGCCCACGGGUACGGACGACACUUCUGGGCUGUUAUCGAAUCACUACCUGCUCUGGCCGCACGCCUCCGCCGCUGCUGCAGCUUCUUAAACCUCUGGAAGUUGCCUGUGGGUUGGGUACUCAGAAUGCUCUCUUUGACCUCCUCACCCUCACCCACAUGUGCAGACCCAGCCCUUCAGAAGAUGCAGACGCACUUGUUCUGCCAUUUCUCAAACGCUCCAGGCCCCCCUCCUGCACCGUGCUCUGCUCCUGAGAUGAAGACCCCCACACGGAGAGGGCCUGCCCACCUCGAGGCUCCUGGAACCCCUUCACUCUCCACGCCCCGUGGCAGGGCUCAGCCCUGCCCUCCCCUCUGCCCUGACAGGUCCUGGUUGCCUGGGGCAAUGCUGCAUCUCCUUGCUGGCUCCGGUCAGCGGCUGGGCCCCUGUCACCUGCUCGCCUGUCUCUCAGGAUUGCCUCUCCACCACCCCGUCACACUGCAAGCUGCGUGCAUGUGGGGCCCUUCUGGUCUCACCGCUGAGCGAAUGUCCAGCUUCAGGAGGGAAGGAGUCCUUUGUGGGGUCCUCACCAGGUGAGGCAGAGUGGGUGAGGCGAGUGGUGGGCACUGCAGCCGGCUCUCCUGAUGACUGGAGUCACCUUGCCACACAGCCAGGGCUCUGUGCCUGCAGCUCCUUCCUUCCUUCCUUCCUCCCGAAGAAGCAUCUCAAACACCUCCGCUCUCCCCCUCUUUCCCCUGCAGCCCCAUCUCCCUCCGUGGCCCUUCCUGCUGGCAGACCAGCUCUCACUCCCCAGCCCAAGCCCACUGUGCCUCCCGUCAGCCACCAAGGUUGCUUCCCCCGACUGCCCCUGUCCAGAGAUCGCUUAGCUCUCUCCUCCUUGGGGUGAGCUCAAUGCUGGGAACAGGGCGUGCUGUGAGCUCUGUUAGUGGGGCUGAGAGGGUUCUGGGGUGGCCCCUGUGCCCGGUCCCCGUCCCGUGCCAUCUUGGUAGGCAGGUCCCCAGGCCUCUCCCUGCCCAGCCCACCUGCCAUUUGAGGGCCAAAGCCUGGGGAGGGUCCGAGCCUUGCGGGGCCCUCCUGACCGGGCAACAGGAUGGGGAGGUUGGCCCCCCCAGCCUUGCCCCCCAGCCUUCCCAGCACGGAUCCAGUCCUGGGCUCCACCUCUCGCCCUCAGAGACCUGGCCCUGAGCUGCCUGCAGGCCAAGCGUUUAAAAGUGACGCCUGUUGUGCAGGGAACGUCACAGGGCCUGGGGCCAGAGCCGAGCGGGGUCAUUUUUUUUAUUAUUAUUAAAAAGUAAAACCUAAACCAAGAAAAC
Long non-coding RNA from Bos taurus (domestic cattle), 1994 nucleotides. The record is from Ensembl. NCBI's taxonomy places the organism in Eukaryota, Metazoa, Chordata, Mammalia, Artiodactyla, Bovidae.